Molecule: long non-coding RNA, 1463 nt
Organism: Hyaena hyaena (striped hyena)
Lineage: Eukaryota; Metazoa; Chordata; Mammalia; Carnivora; Hyaenidae
Exons: 2
Source: RefSeq, a predicted model, not a curated record
GUUGGUGGCAAUUAUCUCAACUGAAAAGCCAUGCAGUCGGCCCUGACAGAACAUAGCAGUCCCAAGGAGGAGGAAGUAAUCCUGGCAAGUUGGAGACCAGCAACCAGAGCAACAGAGACCCUGCCAUCACCACUCUACAAGGAUUCAGACCAGAUUGUACCUGCACAAAGGUGAAGCCAGUGUGGUCCUUGAGGCAGAAGAAUGUCGUACAAAGGAAGCGUCUCAGAUACUGCUGUGUAUGUGAAGGGGGAAGAACUUCCCAAGGAAAAGACAACAGUGGCUGCUGCACACCUUGUUGGUGGUCAAACCAAGCAAAGCUGUUGAAUCUUUCUGCGAGAUAUGUCCCUGUAUAUCAAAGGAGAAAGAGUCCUUUCUGGCUGGGCCCCAGGCCCACUGCUUGAUCAAAAAGGCUUUCCCUGAAGGCACUCAGGUCCCACUCUGGGUGUCCUUGACUUUUGCCUGCCUACAUUCCCUGGAAUAGGUUUGUCCUCAGUGCUGUUGGUACACAUCACCUUCCUCAGAUCCUCUCAGCUGGCAUGUGCCCUCAAUUUCAAGGGAAUGACUAACAACAUGAGUUCCCAUUACCUAUGACCACCAUGUUGGAAGAUGGGACACAGAGUCCUCCUUCUUCAAAGAUGCUUCAGGGAGACCUGUGGUCGUCUCAACCAGCCUGGGUCUCUUCCCAACCUGCAGCGCCACCAACUCCUGGUGAUCCGACCCAGGAUGGGCCGGUUCUCACCCUCCCCCUCUGUCCUCUGUAGAGGGCAGAGAUCCCAGCUGCUGGACUCUAAGAAAAUGACUUAACCUCUUAGCCUGUUACUUCAGCCACAAAAUUGUUAAAGGGCCUUCUACCGCAGGGGGUAGAUUCUGAUUCUGGCAAAAUGGUACUCAUGAAAUGGCACUUGGCAUUUACUUUUUACUGACCCUGAAUUGCCUUCCAGACACAUCUCUCUUUAGACCAAGGAGACCACAGAGCCCUGGCACAGCCAGAUCUCCAAACUGCCUGGUGGUUGUGUUCCCACAGGACCUGGAUGAGAAGGCAGAGCAGAGGCUGGUGGACCCCGCUGUGAACACUCUACUUGGGGAACUUCUAGCCAAGAGAGAAGGGGACACAGGCAGAGUCCUGGCUUUUAGUGGGCAAGGAGAGGCCCUGAGCAGGGGCGGGGGCAGCAGGGAAUGGCGCUAACUGAGGCUGCACCAUUGGAGUGGAAAUGCCUCAACACGCCCACCGUGUCCCAAGGUCAGAGGCAUAACAACUGGGUCUUUGUUACAGAGUUCAAAUGCCUCGCUCUCCACUCCUUCCAAAGCCAGCUUACAGGAUGCACAACACACCUCCCCUCCCCCACCUCAGACACCCAGCUUCCCUGAACUGGGACACCACUGUCCCAAGGAUCUGCAGUCUGGUCCUUCUGCUUUCUCCCCUCCAUCCACAUAGAUUCUCUGGUUAAACUGGUUGUACACUC